CGGCGAGUGAAGAGGGAAGAGCUCAAAGUUGGAACCUGUUUGGCUUAGCUAAACCGGAUUGUAAACUGGAGAAGCGUUUUCCUGGCACGCCAGACUGAUAAGUCCUUUGGAACAGGGCAUCAUAGAGGGUGAGAAUCCCGUGAUCGGUCUGAGCAGAUGUCUUUUGUGAUACGCUUUCAAAGAGUCAGGUUGUUUGGGAAUGCAGCCUAAAUUGGGUGGUAAAUCUCACCUAAAGCUAAAUAUUGGCGAGAGACCGAUAGCGAACAAGUACCGUGAGGGAAAGAUGAAAAGAACUUUGAAAAGAGAGUUAAACAGUAUGUGAAAUUGUUGAAAGGGAACCGUUUGGAGUCAGACUGGCUUUGCCGUGAUCAAUCUGGGCUUUGGCCUUGAUGCACUGGCGGCAGAUGCCUGCCAUCGACAGUUUUGUCUGGAGGAAAAAACAAGUAGGAAUGUGGCCCCUCGGGGUGUUAUAGCCUAUUUGAAAAUACUCUGGAUGGGACUGAGGAACGCAGUGGAUGCUAUUAUGGCGAGUGUGCUAGGUGCUUUUGUUGAUAGAUGCUGGAAUUUCUGCUUCGGGUGGUGCCAGUGUCUAAAGAUAAAACUCACUUGGUAUAUCUUCUAUCCACUUAGGUUGAUGGCUUAAUGACUCUAAAUGA
RNAcentral lists this ribosomal RNA (656 nucleotides) under Mycotypha africana. RNAcentral describes it as "LSU rRNA". It matches the Rfam family "Eukaryotic large subunit ribosomal RNA", at positions 87 to 647 of the family's 3401-position model. The record is from RNAcentral. Lineage: Eukaryota; Fungi; Mucoromycota; Mucoromycetes; Mucorales; Mycotyphaceae.